RNAcentral lists this long non-coding RNA (1935 nucleotides) under Prunus dulcis (almond). RNAcentral describes it as "sRNA ncRNA". Lineage: Eukaryota; Viridiplantae; Streptophyta; Magnoliopsida; Rosales; Rosaceae. The record is from RNAcentral.
ACUGAUGACAUUCUUCCGAGCUUGGAAGAUCAGGGAGUGCAUCAACUGUAUCCAAAAGGCCCAAACAUUGGUAUGCCUCCCUCCGUUCUAGUUUUAAUUAUUUGUAUUGUCAUGUGAAAUUACUGCUUUUGAAAUUUAGGAAUUAAUGUGAACUUUUUCUUGCUUCAAGCACUGUUGCAAUCAUCAUCUAUUGCAGUUUCUUCUUAGCAUUGGUUGAAUUAUCUUAUUAUUAUUUAUCAUUUUUAUAAACUAGUUAACUAUAAUUUUCUUUGGAAAGAUGUUAGCAAAAGAGAGAUUUUCUUUGCUAAGUUAGAACACGGUUACUAGACUGAGAAAUGUUCUCUUCGUUACAGUUAUCUACAACUUUCUUGGUUACAGUUACUCCACAUUUCUGAUUGAUUGCCAUAGUUUUCUAGGCUAUGGCAUAUAUCCAAUCCAUACUAGAAAAUGUUGUCAUGCAUGAUAGAUCCGACAUUACGACUAAAAUAUGAUCCCUUAAUGAGCCUUCUUUAGUGCAAUACAAAUGUCCUCUCUAGAAAGGUGAAGAGUGUUAGGGGGUAUGUAUCAUCUGGUUUGCAGAGCAUGAUUUUAUUGAUAAUAACUAACAAGAAACAAAUAAGAACUACAUGUGCACAUGCGUGUAUGUCUGUUUAUUCUAGUGUCUUCUUUACAUAUAUAUAUAUAUAUUGUGCAUAUGCAUGUGUUUGUUUUUCGCCUCUAAAAUGUUUUAUGCUUCUUUGACAAAAAUUGUGAUCCUUCUUAGAUUUUAAGAAGGAACUGAGGUCACUUAACAGAGAAUUGCAGCUGCACAUUUUGGAGCUGGCUGAUAUUCUUGUAGAGAGACCAUCACAGUACGCGAGGAGAGUGGAAGAUAUAUCUCUUAUCUUCAAGAACUUGCAUCAUCUUCUCAACUCAUUGCGUCCCCAUCAAGUAAGAUAGUUUUGGGUCUUAGAAUGCGCUGUAUUGGUUUGUGUUUGAGGUUCUUUAUUUUGUAAAUUAUUUUAUCAUACAGGCUAGGGCAACGCUAAUUCACAUUCUAGAACUUCAGAUACAACGUCGUAAACAAGCUGUGGAGGAUAUAAAGAGGUAUGCUUUCAACAAUUACUGAAAAGAUUUGUGGUCUGAGGCUGAAAUGUUUUGCUUUUUUUUCCAAAACAGUUGAAGGAAAAUUUCUCUGUCCUUUGAUCAUUUAAAUGAAUAGCUUAUAUAGCAUUUUAUUUAGAGUAAAAUUACUUGAAUCUACUAGGCUAUUCUUUUGGUGCAUUGUAGAAGUUGUUAUAGAAAAACUCCCCUAUUCUUGUAUGUGAGGCAUCGAAAUGUUGAUAUUUAAUUUCUUGCAACUUUGAAUUAUGAGGUUAAAAGUAAAAAGCGGUGUGUGCGUGGUCAGUGUAAGAGUUUGAAGAUGGAUAUAAAUUCCUUAAAUCGACUGGUACUUUGACUGUGUAAUCAAACUGCCAUGCGGAUUGGAUGUUACAUAAUUGCUUGUGACUAUUGGCUUCACUUUCUGGUUUAGGAGGAGAGAAGAAGCACAGAGACUUCUCAAGGAGUCUAUUGGAACGUUGGAGGACACCGGCGCAUCUUUUGUGCUAAAGUAAGAGAGUGUGCUCAUGUUCGUUCUGCCGCAGAUUGAAGCCUCUUGGACAGUUGCAUCUUAAUACAUUCAUCAUGCUUCAUGUAUUAGUAAAAUUAUAGGUUCAAUUGUCUUUGUAAUCAGAGUAAAAGCAAUUUGAUAGCGUGCAUGAUAGUGUUCUCUCAUGCUCUGCUGCACUGAAAUUCUAAGGCAUUGAUUGGUAUCCUACUCAAAAAAAAAAACUCAAAAACUAUAAUUCUUUUUAAAAAGAUGAGUUUUCAAAUAGUGAUUUUAAGAUCUAAAAACUUGUUUGGUAUUGAACUCCAAACUGUUUUUAAAAUCUAAAAAAUUAAAAUUAAAAUUAG